CCGUCAGCAAUAAGCACCCGAGCAGUUGACACCUGCAAAUAGUAAAAGUGGCUUCUUCACUCAAACCAUUUUUAUAUAGCCGUACAGGUUUCCUAGAACAUUUUUUUUUUAUUACAAUCAAGC
Molecule: long non-coding RNA, 123 nt
Organism: Aricia agestis (brown argus)
Lineage: Eukaryota; Metazoa; Arthropoda; Insecta; Lepidoptera; Lycaenidae
Exons: 3
Source: RefSeq, a predicted model, not a curated record